Molecule: long non-coding RNA, 789 nt
Organism: Dunckerocampus dactyliophorus (ringed pipefish)
Lineage: Eukaryota; Metazoa; Chordata; Actinopteri; Syngnathiformes; Syngnathidae
Exons: 3
Source: RefSeq, a predicted model, not a curated record
GCUGCCGCUAGCAUAGCAGGCUACCGAGCUAACUAGUUAGCCUCUCCAAUUUACUUAAUCUAAAUUUAAAGUGAAGGACAACAACGCCAAAAAUGUACUUUUAUAUGUUUUUGGCGUCUUACUUUGUCCGUCUUCCCCAGUCCGUUUGAAACACUUAAGUCUUAAGUUUGAAAAAAGUUACUUGGAGAGGCUAACUAGUUAGCUUAGGAGCUUGCAAUGCUAGCGGCGGCCAUCUCUUCUGUCCGUGCAGUGAUCCUGUAGCCUGCGUAAUGUGGCGUCAAAAAAGAAUAAUGGGAAUAAUGUAAAGGUGACUAUAGGGGUCUAAUAAUGUUUUUUUUUUUUUUUUUAAAACGUAUUUAGAAAGUCAUAAACAAGUUUUCAUAAACAGUUUAUAGUCGUCCCUCGUUUAUCCCUCGUUUCUCGCAGUUACUUGGUUCCAAACCUGACUGUGAAAGUGGUCUGAUUUCGCGAUCUGCAGGGGGGAAAAGCGUGCCGCAGCUAGGACUCCACCAGCGGCCACUGCCUCACAAGUCUGUGCGCUCAAAAUUUUCCAGCAGGAAAAUGCUUUGACAAGGCGUGAUGUGCAGCUGCAGAUUUUGAAUGCAAUGUGAGGGGAUCCACCGUACAUCAAUUAUUCCAGAGCCUACCAGUGUCAUUGGAGGCGAACAUGACAACAAAGGGCUCCCUGAUGAAGGUAUCGGUCCCACACGGCUCGCAGCCAUCAUCGUAAGUGUAGCUUUUGGCCACAGACACUAUCUGCUCCCUGGAAAGAAACAAAAACAUAUUAGA